GAUGAACGCUGGCGGCGUGCCUAAUACAUGCAAGUCGAGCGAACAGACGAGGAGCUUGCUCCUCUGACGUUAGCGGCGGACGGGUGAGUAACACGUGGAUAACCUACCUAUAAGACUGGGAUAACUUCGGGAAACCGGAGCUAAUACCGGAUAAUAUAUUGAACCGCAUGGUUCAAUAGUGAAAGACGGUUUUGCUGUCACUUAUAGAUGGAUCCGCGCCGCAUUAGCUAGUUUGUAAGGUAACAGCUUACCAAGGCAACGAUGCGUAGCCGACCUGAGAGGGUGAUCGGCCACACUGGAACUGAGACACGGUCCAGACUCCUACGGGAGGCAGCAGUAGGGAAUCUUCCGCAAUGGGCGAAAGCCUGACGGAGCAACGCCGCGUGAGUGAUGAAGGUCUUCGGAUCGUAAAACUCUGUUAUUAGGGAAGAACAAAUGUGUAAGUAACUAUGCACGUCUUGACGGUACCUAAUCAGAAAGCCACGGCUAACUACGUG
This 497-nucleotide ribosomal RNA is filed under the name uncultured bacterium. RNAcentral describes it as "partial 16S ribosomal RNA". It matches the Rfam family "Bacterial small subunit ribosomal RNA", at positions 28 to 507 of the family's 1533-position model. The record is from RNAcentral.